This is a long non-coding RNA of Brienomyrus brachyistius, 2838 nucleotides long. RefSeq lists it as uncharacterized. The record is from RefSeq and is a predicted model, not a curated record. The transcript is spliced from 2 exons. NCBI's taxonomy places the organism in Eukaryota, Metazoa, Chordata, Actinopteri, Osteoglossiformes, Mormyridae.
CCCCUAUUGCACAGUCAGAGUGGUACAUCCCAGCUGCUCUCUCUCCCCCUCUCCCAGUGUCCUCCAUCUCUUCUCCCUCCCUCAUUCUCUGACAUUUCUCCUUGAGGAAGGAGCCGAGCCCAGCCCCGCAUUUCCUCCCUGCAGGCCUCAUUAUCCCUCUGUUAUCAUUUCUCCAUCCAAAUCCAGGCCCAAGAAGCUGCACAGCUAGGACUGAGGCAGCCAAAGGAAACACGAAGGAAUCUCCAGUCUAGGAAAUAGCCCCCUCACCUCUGUUUUCAGAUCCCAUGGAGGGCAAAGUCAAAAGUGGAGCAGGGGCUCCUAAAGCAGCCCCCGCUUCCAAAGAGAAACAAGGUGAAAAGGCGGAAAAGAAAGAUUCAGCCACACCGCGCAAAGCCAACCCCGCCCCUGCUGAUCCUGCCCCAGCAGCCCCUGCUCCUGAGAAGCCCGCUGUGGAUGGAGCGGCUGACCAGGAGGCGGCGCCAGAGGGCAGUGAGGCAAGAGAGCCCAGCACAGACUCCCUGGAGAACCUGAAGCCUUUCCUUAUUGGGGGAGCAGUCAUCGCUGCUGCAGCCAUCCUGGUGGGGGCACUGUUGUUAGCACGGAGGCAUUGAGAGCAUCCUGCUUAGUUUAUUGGAUAAUCGGCAAAAGCAUUGCUUGCUGAUUGGUUAAUUUACUGGCUUAUAUUGAUUAACUGAGGAAGAAAAUGUGUGUAAGCCACCCUGCCCAUUAUUCUAUUUACACAACUCCUGAGCAAACUUACCUAUGUAUAUAAGCAGGUAUACCCACGAAUCACAUGCCAAGCCUGAUAAUCUGUUUUGGCAGCAUACUAACAUAUGUGUGGCUGUACUUUCAAAUAUGUUAAACCAUUUGGAUGAGAGUAUGGAGUCUCUGUAAAUAUGAAACUAAAUGAUGUUGCUAUAGCAACAUUAAGAACAACAUUUCAAAGGUACAGUCAAUAUUCUAGGGAAUUAUUAUUAUUUUGAUCCAUUUCAGUGUGGAGGAUUGUAGCAUUUUGAUGAUUCAAGAACAUUUACUCAUAUAUAAAGUCAUAAUCGUUUUAUGGCAAGAACGGCAAUAGUUGUCCUAUUCUAGUUGUAGUGAUAAAAUUAGUGACAUUUUCUAUCAGCCAAAAAGAAACCAACUACUGAGACCUCUGAUAUACAGUAGGUUCACCUAGGAAAUAUUUAUUUUUGAAGUAAUUGGCUGUGGUUCUAAAAUUGUAAAUUGUUAUAAAUGUCUAAAUGCGAGUCCGUAAGAUGAAAGCAUGAGGUAUCGUCUUCUUAGUAACAGGAUGUAGGGGGGGAUGGAUUGAAGAAUCUUCUGGAAAAGAGUGCUCCUGUUAGCCGGAUGAGCUGCAUAUCCUUAUUUGAGUAGCUGUCUGUGUGUACUUAGAAUCCUUGGUAAGUUGACGCCAUGUCCUCCGUUGAAGAUGUAGGAUGAACCCUAUCAUACUUCGGCCCUACCUACCCCAUCUCUCUGUCCACAGUAAUCAUGAUGCCAAUGCAGUAACGCACAUUAUUGGUUGACACUGGAAGCAAUAUAAUGCUUUAAAAAUACUGAAAAUAUAUUCAACUGUCAAGUAAACCUUUGCCACUGCUAAGUGGCUAGGGAAUGUGUAUGUUUGUUGGGCAUUAAAAGAAUAUCACUUCAGUGUGAAUUACAUAAUUUAUAAAAUUAUAUGUAUUUGUCUCAUUGUCUAUGUAGAUUUAAUUUGUAAAUUGUAUAGGUAGGGAAACCCGAUUUGUAUAUUUAUUUUCUUAUUUAAAGCUACACAGGCAGGACAUGGUGGAGCAAAAUGUCUAUUAUAGGUCUCUGUGGCAACUAUAUAAAAUAUCCAAAACACACUUUGCAUGAAGUGUGUUGUAAGAUUUGUCUCUUUUGGCUCCAAAUUGUCUAUUUUUGGCACAUAGUUUUGCUGUUUCUGGAAACAAGCAAAAGUGUGAUAUUUUGGUAGCUAGAAUGUGUACAAUGUAUGGAUGCACUACUUGUAAGUAUAAUGUACAUACUUCUAUGCUAGUGAUCCUAGGGUCUGUCAGAAUCUCCUCUUGCACUUUUGACUUAACAGAACUCUACGGGCUUUCCGUCAGAACCAUUUUCACAUCUAAUUGCACUGAUUAUUAAUAAUAGAUGACCUUCCUGCGCACUGACAUUAAACCCACAACAAGAACACCGUCAUUAUCGUCUCCGCAAAUGCAUACAGUCCCUUAGCAGACCAUAUGCUGCAGUGCAUAGAGCAUACUCUGACACUGAUUCUCUAUGGAAAGUAACAAAAAAGUUUAGCUUUAUUCACUUUAUAGUUUUUAUUCUUCUCCAGAGCGUAUAAAUGCAAUAAUUCUAGUAGGAAUAUACGUUUUAGCACAUUAUUGUGACUCAAUAAUGGUUAUGAUAAUAAAAAUGAAAAUGAUAACGAUUAUUAUUAUUCCCAAUAUAACCAGUCCUCCCCCCCAUACCAUGGGCUUUCCCUCGUGCUAAACUGUUCCUGCCACUCACUGGCAUGUCAGGAGGACAGAAAAAGGCUCCUCCCUGACCAUUAUAUAAUUAUUUAAACAAGUCCUUUUCAGUCUGAAUCUCUUUUGGGCUGAGGUGCAAACGCACAGAUGCCAUAAAUUUGAUUCACACUUAUGCCUGGACAUGUCUUGGUCUGGAACAAACCAUCUAAUGCAAGUGUAGUGAUGAUGUCAUUAAUGAUGUUUCUGUAUAUUAUGGAGCCCUGAGUUUGACCCUCAGGAUCCCAUUCACAUCCAUUGAACUACCUUGUUGUAUCCACUCUAGUUAUAGAUUCAUUACUUUGGUCAAUGUGGUUUGAUGACUGGACUUAAUAAAACAAAGUGCAAGGUA